GGAUUGUAAUCCCAUGCAUCUGGUUCACGUGGACCUGGUGUCCUAGUUGGCCCUAUUGCCGUCAAUUCCGUGGAUUCGGCUUUGGGUAUCCUCUAUAAUUUCUGGCGUGGGCACGCCCUGAGAUGAGAAGUCUUCUGAGAAUUUGUCUCACGAGAUUACUUUUAACGCCAACAACCUAUAAUUUACACAAAUAUGAAAUAUGAGCAAAAUCUCAUUAUUUAACACAGUAAGUAGCCAAAAUUAUGAUAGAAUAACAGUGCAAAAGGUGCUCAA
This 273-nucleotide long non-coding RNA is filed under the name Coffea arabica (coffee). Its description in RNAcentral is "long non-coding RNA (CARA_LNC003682)". The record is from RNAcentral. Lineage: Eukaryota; Viridiplantae; Streptophyta; Magnoliopsida; Gentianales; Rubiaceae.